UUUUCCGUAUACGCAUUCACAAUCGUCAGGUUUCAUUUUCCAUUGUUUUUGUUUUUAUUGGCAGCAUACAUAUACAAAUGACAUUAGAAAAUAGCAAGGUUUUCUCCUUCGCCAUUAGUAAUUUGGAAAAAAACACUGCAAUAUUUAAGAAAAAGUAUUCCAAUUAAAACCAACGAAACUAGAAAAUUAAAAUAUAGUUUUUUAUUUUUUAUUCAAAAGAAAAAAAAUUUGAUUAAAAUUACUUAAUGAGUGGUGGAGAUACAACGAAAUUGUGAUAAAUGAGUAGAGUAGAAUAGAGCACAGCCAUUUUUGUUUUGGCAAAAAACUAAUGUAUGAAUAACAAACAAGUUAAUUAGAAUCUUCCUAAUAUAGAUAAAUUGAAUAUAAAUUCUAACAGAAAAUAUUUAGUAUUGAAAAGAAAAAAAUUCUUGAAGGAAUUGAAUUGAAAUAAUCGUAUACGUACGUAAUUAAUGACAUCAUUUAUAAUGUCAAAUAUUUAGUAAAUAAAUUUUUAUUCAAUUCAAAUUUUUAGAAAUGUGCAAAAAAAAAAUAGAUUAAAAGCAAUGUACAUCUGUUAAAUUAUAUGUACAUUAGUUGGAAAAAGUUUGAUUUUGAAAAAUAUUUGCAAUGGACGGUUGGGGUUCAGAGGAAUUGAGUAAACUUUCAUUGCCAACUACUUCAAGUAGUACGCAAAAAACUAUAGAUAAUAUAUCAUCAAUCUCAGCUAAUUCGGCAACUGGCAACUUGCAAACAUUCCUAAAUACUAAAGAUAUAUAUAAAAACUCUAACAUACAUUCUACAAAAGAAGACAGUGAUGAUUCUUUAGAAAACAAUGAUGGAAAAGAAAAAACCGAUGCAACACCUGAAAACUUGAAAAAAAUCGAUGAUGUCAUUUUAACACCGACCACAUAUUGUAUUGGUGGUGAUGGUAGCACAAACAUAUUUGGAGAAAAACCAAAAACCACUAUAGAAAAUAAAAAAAACGAAGACAAUAGUAGCAAUAAUACCGAUACAAGUCAUAAUAAGAAUGUUAAUUAUGCUAAUGAAAUCAGGUCAUCAAUAAAAAUAUCGGGUGUAAAAAAUCAGCAUGGUGAAAAUAAAUUAUUCAAAAAUAAAAAUAAUGAAAAUUUGGAAGAUUUGAAAACAGGUGUUGAGGAAGAAUUAAAAAUAGUUGAAAUAGAUGACAUACCAGAUGACAAAAGUAAUAUAAAUAAUACAACAAUAUCUUCAAAUGAAGAAGAUUCUCCUACAAAACAAGAAGCAUCUUUGCAAAAUAGUUUUGCUUUUACAAUCGAUUUUGGUGGUAGUACAAGCAGUAAUAAUCCAAUUGCAGAAGCAAAAUAUAAAUCUAUGUUAGAGCGUUUUCAAAAUCGUCAUAAGCGUGGAGCAUCAAUGUCGAAAUUAGAAGUCAAAAAAUCUAUUUCAACAGAAAAGGAAGUAAAAAAACAGGUACCGGUUUGUUCAAAUUCUACUUCAAACAGCAGCAGUAGUGCUGUUAGUAAACGGGGUAGUUUAAAUCAGUCUUUAGUUUCCGGGAAUACCAUUAAUAAACAAGGAAAAUUGUCAGAGCAAGAAAGUACUUCUGAAGCUAACAAAGUAAAAAUGAGAAUUCGUGAUAGAAGUGCCAGCGGAGUAAGGGAUCCAACUAAAAGACAUAGUUGGUCUCCUCGUUCAAGUGCAAUCGAACAGGAUGGUUCGCUUAUAAUGAACAGUAAACCAAUCCCCAGACCAAGUAAAUUAGCGACAAAGACGAAUACAGUUCAUUCAUCAGAAGCGAGUAAUAAGCAGAUAAGUGCGUCUUUAAAAAGCUCUAAUAAAAAUAUUUCGAACGCCUCAGCGUCAAAUUAUAAUCAAAUUGAUUUUGCAAAGUCGAAAUCGUUUGCUUCCAGAACUUCUGCUAUGCAAAUGACACUGGGAAAAAUUGAUUUUUUGUGUCAACAACCUCCUUUAGACAAUUUGGCAGCUAAAGAAUUUCAUACUUGUGGCAGUGAUGAUGUUAGUGAAGCGGGUACAUAUACAUUGGAUGGUGACAAUUACACCGAAGAACAAAAAGAAUUGAUGAAUAUAGAUAAAUCAAAAUUAAAUCAAAUGCAUCAGCAACAUAGCGUUGUAGCAUAUGAUAUAAAGGCACUUAAUAAUAUAAAUCGCCCCACCGAUCUGCCUAUAAGUAAUAAUAUGUCCCCAUAUAGCAAUAAAGUUUCACUCCAAGGCAAUCAUCUUCAAAGAAAGAAUAUAUUGGAAGUGAGCUACCUUCACGAAUCUGCCGUCGAUAAACCUAAAAUAUCAUAUUUAGAUAAGUUUAAGUCUCGCAUGAAAGGGAAAAAAUCACCUGAGAAAUUGUUAGAGAACAAUAAAAUAAGUGCUCCAGCAAGUUCUCCAAGUGGCGAUGUGGGUACGUUUACAAGUAUAACAACAAGUGGAGUUUUAGCUAAAAAAUCUAGUCUUGACGCAAAACCAAAAUUGACUCGUAAAAGUAGUUUGACUACAUCUCAAAUAGACAGUUCCGAAUAUGUAAGUACAUCAUCAAAUUCCUGCAAUGUGGGCGGUAGUAAUGGAAUUUUAAAUUCAAAUAAAGAUAUGAAUAAUAAAAACUCUCAAAUGAGUCAUUCGUUUACUGAUCAUCAAAAAGCAGAAUAUCGCUUGAACGUUUUUACAAAUCAAACCGAUUCUCAGCUUAUGUUAAGUGACUAUGAAUUAGCAGGUACUCCUGAUAGUCCCAGAAGCGUCGAUUUGAAAAUAUCUGAUACUGCUGUUCUUAAAACCGCGCAAUCUAAAAAUGAUUGGAUUCAAGAAUGGGCUCGCAAUGCUAGAGCCCGCAGCGUUACUUCUUCAAUUAAGCCUACGGAUCAUAUCCAUCAUCGCGGCAAACUUGGCAGUUCAAGCGUAGCGGGAAACCCUUUGAUGACUCGCAGCUAUAAUUGUGAAUAUAUAGAAGAAAAUAAUUCCGUUUUUAGUGAUCAUGGUCAAGGUUCGACAGUGAUAUAUUGCAACAAACCGAUUGAACGAUUUAAAUCACAUGCUAUCGGUGAUUAUGGGAUGGAAUAUUCCUCUUCAGAUCCAAAUGUUAGCAGACGGUCUGCUGGCUCGCCGAAUUUAGAUUCGAAUUUAAAAACAAAUUUCUCACGGCCACCUUUAAGUCCAUCAAAAAUUCCGUCACCUUUGCAUUCCAUUGGUCGAACUCGCAGCAUUAGCAAAACUCGUUCUAGUCUACAAGAUUUAUCGCCCUCCGGCGUUACACAACAGCAGUUUCAACAUGCUCAGGAAUCAGAUACUUAUGUUCAAAAAACAAGUUCAGCUUUGUCAAAUCCUAGUCGAAAGAAUUCACUAAAAAGUUUAAAUUCAUCUAAUCAAUCUCCAAAACGUUUGAGUGGUACUCACCAUUAUUCAGCUGAUGAGUAUAGCCCACCUGGUCAUCAUUUGGGGAAUUACAGUCAAAAUAAUAUAUUUCGAGGGGACAGUAGUAAUGGAUUACAUAGACGUAAUUUGUCUUUCGAUUACAGAGCGCAACCCUUUCAAAAUCCAAGCAAUAAAUCAAACACGGUUACAAACUAUAUGUCACAAAGUUAUUCAAAUGAAAUGAAUAAUUUCUCAGAAUAUCCAAAUGAUUUCCGUUUACCAAGGCCACGUAAAAAUUCAUUCGAUUCUUCUUUAAGAAGCCAUCAACAACUUUUUUCUAAUCAACUAACUGGGUCGUCAUCACCAAUUCGCCAAGUAAAUUCAGGAACUUUAAUUCAACAACAAGGAAUACGUAACCAAAGAAUUAUUGAUCAAACAUAUUCGAUUAAACAAAAUCAAAUUCAAACAAAUAAACGUCAAAUAUCACAGCAACAAGAUGUUCAACAACAAAAUUCUUCACCAUUAAGAAGGUCCUCAUCGUUCUCUGCAAAACCUUUAUCAAGUAGUAAUAAUAAUAUUGGAAACCAUCGCUAUACUUCGUUAUAUAAAACUGUUACACCUAUUACAGCACAAAAAUAUGUUUCAGCUAUUACGCAACAGCAAAAACAAAAUAAUAAAAUUCCCUUGCAGAAGUCUGCAAGUAGUACUAGUUUUCGCAAGAUGUAUAGUGAUUAUGACGACACUGUUGCAUAUUACAUUAAUGAUGAAGAUGAUUUGGAUUAUUGUUCAUCUGAAGAAUUUGAUGAGCCAUAUGACGAAAAUUCAACUAACGCGCCAACAAUGGGAUCAGCUACUGAAAUUACUGAACCUCCUUUAACAAAUACAAGGUAUAACAAAGCAUUAUUGAUGCGUAUAGAACGCAGUAAACAAAGAGUAGCAGGUAAUAAUGGUACAAAACCAGCACCAGGCGGGGUAAUGGCAUGCCCCAAUACUCCUGAAUUACCAAGACGUUCUGUUCAAAGUGCUAAUAGCAUUCAACAGCAACAACGUGCAUCAAUGCGCCAAUCUGUUCCACGUGAUUCUAGCUUAAAUCGUUUGAAAGGUGAAGUACCAAAUUCUUUAGCAUCAGCAAAAAAGCAAAUUCUACAAACGGCAGCUAAAAGUACCACAAUUCCUUCAGCCCAAUCUAGAUAUUUAGAUAUAUCAAAGUAUAAACCCGCACAAGGUGCAACAUUUCUUAAAAAAGAUGAAUCAAAGAGUACACUGCAGAAACAACAGUCAGAUAUUAAAAAGAGUCCAACAAACACAACAAUAACAUUAAGCCGUACAGAUACUACAAGAGCUAGCAAUAGAAGUGUUAAAUCGGCUAGUAGUGUUAGUAAUAGGCCAUCUAGUGCUUCAAAUAAAAAUGCCAGAGAUAGUUCAGUAUCUAAGCAAAAGGAAAUGGAGCUUGAAAUGUGGCGUAGGCGUGCAAAAUACGAUCCGAUGAGAGCAGCUGCAGAAGAUAAACGCAAAAAAGAAGAAGCUAAAAGGCAAUCUCAACCAGCAAAAUUAACUGAAAGGCCAUCAAGAUCUCCCAUUCGUAGAGGAGAAUUUUGACCUAUGGGGAUUCUAAUUACUGAUUUAUAAAAUAUUAAUAAAAAAUUAUGUUAAAAUUAAAUGUACAAUAUGAACUUUCAAACACAGAAUCGUAUUCAAAUUUGAAAUGAAAAAAGAAAGUCCUUUUUUCUAACAGAAAUGUCCUUUUUUAAAAACUUUUUUUUUUUAUAAAUAUUUAUUUUUUUUUAUUAAUAUAAAAAGAUUUAUAUUCUAGUCAUUAACGAAAAAUACAAAUAAUGAAAAUAUUUAUAAAGUAAUAACGAAUCGUUAAUAUAAUUAUAAUAAACUUUCUAUUAUAAUUAAGAUUUAAUUUAUAUUUUUAAUUUAUUGAUAUAUGAAAUAAAAAACAAAAAACAAAAAGUGAAGCAGAUCUGAACGGUGAGAAAAAAAAAAGCGAAAAGAAUUCCAAUUGAAAAAUUCUAGUUUUCUUCGAUCGCAAUCAUAUCAUUGUGGUGUUGUUGGAUUAGGAGGUAACGAUGCUAUAAAUAAUCGUUGGACCGAGUCAAGUGAUGAAGAAGGCGCAUAUAUAUCAUCUAGUACAACAACUACCAAUU
Condylostylus longicornis is the source of this 5489-nucleotide RNA transcript. RefSeq lists it as uncharacterized. NCBI's taxonomy places the organism in Eukaryota, Metazoa, Arthropoda, Insecta, Diptera, Dolichopodidae. The transcript has 5 exons. The record is from RefSeq and is a predicted model, not a curated record.